Molecule: long non-coding RNA, 294 nt
Filed under: Setaria viridis
Lineage: Eukaryota; Viridiplantae; Streptophyta; Magnoliopsida; Poales; Poaceae
Description: long non-coding RNA (SVIR_LNC002905)
Source: RNAcentral
UUGGGGGUGCAGGUUAUUGUUGUAGUUGUAAGUACAAUUUUCAUUGUAAUGUGCCUCUUUAUUUGUUACCUUUAAAUAUGAAGGUUUGGCCCACUGAGUGAUGUGUGUCUUGGCUCACAUUCAACAAAGGUUGAUGUGGAGUUGUCAGAAGUUUUUUUUAAUUCAGGCUGUUGUGCUGUUACAAACCACGUUCAUUACUGUCGAUGAUAUGAAAGGUCAAGCUUAGAUAUUAUGUAUUGGGAGAUGGACCUACUCUCUUCCAUUGCUAAUGAAAAUCUGAACUCUGUAUUUUUC